CCCUAGCCCUGAUUGCAGUGGAAAUCCUUUUUUUAUGUCCUUUUUUUGGACAUGAAAAAAGAUUGAAACGGAAAGCAGGAUAAAGC
This 86-nucleotide small RNA is filed under the name Flavobacterium sp. 1. Its description in RNAcentral is "Flavo-1 RNA". It matches the Rfam family "Flavo-1 RNA". The record is from RNAcentral. Lineage: Bacteria; Pseudomonadati; Bacteroidota; Flavobacteriia; Flavobacteriales; Flavobacteriaceae.